GUCCCUCUAAAAUCAAUGUAUCCAAUAACUAGUAGUAUUUUUUUUCAUCUUUGUCCUCUAUAAUCUUGUAUUUCGGACAAGGCAAAGUUCAUUUUUCAAUUAUCAUUUAAAGACUAAGUUAUAGAUCGUGCCACAUGGUUUUCCUCUUUCACAUAUUGUUCGACAUGAUUGUACCUUAGUCAUUAUAGAUCCUAUAAAUAUCCUGCGAGUUGAAAGGACUU
Molecule: long non-coding RNA, 221 nt
Filed under: Medicago truncatula (barrel medic)
Lineage: Eukaryota; Viridiplantae; Streptophyta; Magnoliopsida; Fabales; Fabaceae
Description: lncRNA gene50614
Source: RNAcentral